AUGACCGGACGUAAGACGAUUAAAAUUGUUGAUUCGGAUACAGAUUUGAAGUACGACUGUGUGCUACACCGUAAUGAAAGGAAGUAUUGUGUAGAGAAGUACAUUGGCCAUGGCUGGUAUGAUUUUGUCAAGAAUAGAAAGUUGGUAAAAGGGGACAGGGUUGCAUUCAUCUUUCGGAUGCCUCAGGCAGAGCAACUGGUUCUUACUGUUUUGAACCGUGAAAACUUGGUUCAUUGA
Vicia faba (fava bean) is the source of this 237-nucleotide non-coding RNA. NCBI's taxonomy places the organism in Eukaryota, Viridiplantae, Streptophyta, Magnoliopsida, Fabales, Fabaceae. The record is from the annotation of a GenBank genome assembly.